RNAcentral lists this ribosomal RNA (587 nucleotides) under uncultured fungus. RNAcentral's name for it is "eukaryotic LSU rRNA". The stretch from base 188 to 341 matches the Rfam family "5.8S ribosomal RNA". The record is from RNAcentral. Lineage: Eukaryota; Fungi.
AGUCGUAACAAGGUCUCCGUUGGUGAACCAGCGGAGGGAUCAUUAUCGAGUUAUUCAACUCCCAAACCCUAUGUGAACUUACCACUUGUUGCUUCGGCGCGCGCUUCGGCGCCGCCGAGGACACUUAAACUCUUUGUUUUUAUAAGCAUUUCUGAGUGGCCGAAAGGCAAAAAUACAAAUGAAUCAAAACUUUCAACAACGGAUCUCUUGGUUCUGGCAUCGAUGAAGAACGCAGCGAAAUGCGAUAAGUAAUGUGAAUUGCAGAAUUCAGUGAAUCAUCGAAUCUUUGAACGCACAUUGCGCCCGCCAGCAUUCUGGCGGGCAUGCCUGUUCGAGCGUCAUUUCAACCCUCGAGCCCGACUCUUUUGAGGACGGCUCGGCGUUGGGGGACGGCAGACUCCCCCCGGCAUCUCGCCGGGGACGCCGCCCCCGAAAUCUAGUGGCGGCCCUCCGAGGCGACCUCUGCGUAGUAACUUGUUCUCGCACCGGAAAGCUCAGAGCGGCCACGCCGUAAAACCCCAACUUUUUUCAGGUUGACCUCGAAUCAGGUAGGACUACCCGCUGAACUUAAGCAUAUCAAUAAGUCG